AUUGAACGCUGGCGGCAGGCCUAACACAUGCAAGUCGAGCGGAUGAAGGGAGCUUGCUCCUGGAUUCAGCGGCGGACGGGUGAGUAAUGCCUAGGAAUCUGCCUGGUAGUGGGGGAUAACGUCCGGAAACGGGCGCUAAUACCGCAUACGUCCUGAGGGAGAAAGUGGGGGAUCUUCGGACCUCACGCUAUCUGAUGAGCCUAGGUCGGAUUAGCUAGUUGGUGGGGUAAAGGCCUACCAAGGCGACGAUCCGUAACUGGUCUGAGAGGAUGAUCAGUCACACUGGAACUGAGACACGGUCCAGACUCCUACGGGAGGCAGCAGUGGGGAAUAUUGGACAAUGGGCGAAAGCCUGAUCCAGCCAUGCCGCGUGUGUGAAGAAGGUCUUCGGAUUGUAAAGCACUUUAAGUUGGGAGGAAGGACAGUAAGUUAAUACCUGGCUGUUUUGACGUUACCAACAGAAUAAGCACCGGCUAACUUCGUG
This 484-nucleotide ribosomal RNA is filed under the name uncultured bacterium. RNAcentral's name for it is "partial 16S ribosomal RNA". It matches the Rfam family "Bacterial small subunit ribosomal RNA", at positions 30 to 507 of the family's 1533-position model. The record is from RNAcentral.